This is a non-coding RNA of Arachis ipaensis, 375 nucleotides long. Lineage: Eukaryota; Viridiplantae; Streptophyta; Magnoliopsida; Fabales; Fabaceae. The record is from RefSeq and is a predicted model, not a curated record.
UUCGGGAUAAAUAUGACAAGGUUGACGAAUUGCUUACUUCACCAACUCCCAAGGCUUCUGCAAAAGCUCUACCUUCAAUGAGUAAAUUAGGCUUGAAAAGGAUAAAUCCAGAACAAAGUGUGGAUUUUGACACCAAUCCAAUUACUCUGAGCUACUCUGAAGUUGUGAUAUAGGCCAUGAAAAUAAUUUCUUGAUUGUGCACCCAGAUAUUCUGCUGUCUGGAACAAGGGUUGCUGGCAGUUUUGGUUGCCUUAGGAGAACUGUCUUAGAUGAGAGGCUAAAAUGCAAUGAGUAUUCUACUGCAGCAUUGACUGGAACCUUGCUUCACCAAAUUUUUCAGGCUGGGCUUACAGAAGACAAUCCAUCUAUUGACUU